GUCACUCAGCUUUUUAUCUGCUGUAUUCAUGGCAAGGUGAGCCUUGGAAAAUGAACAGUGAUCAAAACAGACACGUUCUAGAAAGAACCUUCUGUUUGAUCAAGAGUACAUCUUCCUAUUUUUGCGUGCCUUAUGUACAGUAGCAGACGGGAAGUAAGACCCUGUUGAGAGCUGGAAGAAUGGAAACCUCCGCAGAAUCAGAAUAACCUUUCCAAGACCGGCUGUCUCAGACUUCUGCUUGGCGUGCUUCUUCCCAUCGUCCCUUUCCUGAGGUCCCUUUCCUGAGAGGCUUGGCUCGGCUACUGAGUCACCAGAUAAAACACAAAGGCUCCAGACGCUUUUUGCACUCCAGUUAUAAGUAUAAAGGAGAAAGAUCAAACCACUCAGGGAGGGACGGUUUUUGCUCAUGAGCUGGAAAAAGGGUGGUGGGGGUCAGUCUCUGCCUUGGCCCUUGUCACCAUCACCAGGGAGCCAGAGGACUCUGAAACGGUCCCUUGAUGGUCUUUGGUCGAGUCUAGAGAAUGCAGCCAUCCCCAGCAGCAGGAUGCUGCCUGCCCCUGGUCCAGCUAAGAGGGACUCCUGUCUGGGCUCUGGGCCUGCUCAGCAUCCUCUCUCCGUCAGGGGCAAGCUCAAGACUCCCUGGACAUCCUAGUGCUUGAGGACCAGGGACGGGGCCCUAGACAACACAAGGGUUGAUGGAAUUCACAGGCCAAAGUCACCAGUGGGGCACUGGACCGUCAGGCUUGAGACCUCUCGUCACCCUUGGCCUGGACGAUGGUGGGGCCCCAUGCCCCAUGCCCUUGACUUGCUUAGACAACACAGACAUGAACUUGUUUGAUUUUUGCACGGGUGCGUUAUUGGUGAUGAAGUCAUGCUGACUUACUGUGGGUUUCGGGGAGAUGUCCUGUGGCAGAGUGCUAAUAAUGACAAAAAUAAUCAUAAAUUUAAAAAUAACAAUAAAAAUCAGCAAUGUGAAGAUUGUUUUCAGAGCAGGGGAAGAAGCGAGAGGACAGCUGAGUGUCUUUUCCAAACGGUUGGGAUAUCUGACUUCUUGGAGUCUUUUUCAGGAAGUGAGCAUUGAACGCCUUACUCCAGGGGGUGGUGGGUUGUGUCUAGUUCUCCUGAGGGCGGCGUGCUCCAUCCUUCCCUCUCCCUGUGUGCUCAGGGCCACCCCUUCCUCCUCGGUCCCCUGGGCUUCCGUGCUCCCUCCCCCUCAUGGGGACUCCUCCCCGCCUCCAGGUGAACAGCAGGCUGAGCAGACCCCAUCCACCCCUGCCCAGACACCCCUGCCUCACCUCGGGGCAGACAGUGAUCUGGCUCCCAGCGCGUUGAUGAAACAGAAAACUAACAUCCUUGGCCAAAUGCUGGGGCUCCUGCUUCAGGGAACUUGUAAAAGCAAGAGUGGUUUAGUUUUCCAAGGCGAAGUCAUUCACUCCAUCUCCCCCAGAGGAGAGGGGACAUGGCAAGAUUGCUUCUCACCAGCGACCAGCUCUCAUCUAAAAGCACCUUUUUAGAAACAAAAUGAUUUUAUGGAUAAUUUAUCCAGUUAGCCAUCAUGAAGGCAGUCGCUGGAGUAGAGAACAUGGCAGUGAACAUCAACUACGAAGACCAGUGGGAAGUCCCAGGGGAAACAGAAGAUGGCAUUUAGACAUCAUUAUCUGCACAGGCCACCACCCCGUCACCCUGAGGCAGGUGAGCGCUAGGUCACCCACAGGAGGAGACGCCCACAGGACCCGCCAGCAGAGUACGAGUUGCGCACUUGUGAAAUGGUGCCUUUCAACUCAACAGGUAACGGGUUCCUACGGCUCAUCAGUCCUGCUCAGUCCCUGGGCUUCCCGAUGGCUCCAUGACGGCGCUGGGCUGCUAGGGUAGGCUUUUGUCCUUCCUGCCUUUUAUCCACAAAUGACCUAAGGCUCUUGAAGGUGGCAGAAGUGACUUGAACUCAUGUUUGUUGUCAAGAAGAUUUUGCUAAUGUUUUUCAAAUUUACGAUUACUGUGAUUAUGUUUUUCAGUACAGAUUUGAAGACCGGAAUGGAGAAAACAGAAAGGAUUAAUGAAACAGGAGUGAGAUGUAUAUGUCACGUGCAAAGUGGGGGUGGGGCUCUGGCCGUGCAGUAAUUGGCCCUUUGUGCUGAGACGUGUCUAUGUCACAGGUGGAACACCAGGCAUGGGACCUUUGCUAAGACCAAAGGUAUCUCAGGCCUUCAGAAUGUUUCGCUUUCCAUGGUGUCGGUCACCUGCGAUCCACAGGAGUCUGGAAGCUGGUGAUGCUCCUUCUGGGGCUCCGUGGGGUCACUCGCAGCCGAACGCAGCACCACACGGCCAUGUCAUUCACCUCACUUCUCAUCACGUGGGCAUUUUGUCAUCCACACCAUCAUUGUAGGAAGAAGGGCAGUCGUCCUCAGCCUGGGGGAUCCUGCUGCCGGGAGACAGAGACAUCUGCCCCUUCACAGCAGGGAAGCAUCUGGACCCACGUGUCCGUGAGACCGAGGUUGAGACAUUCUGCUUCAGGGACGCUGAGGCCCCGAGAUAUUGUGGCCACCUGGAUCAAUGUGCCUACAGUGGCCCCGUGACUCUGAAGGUGAUCAAAAGCCACAUUUCUGGGUGGCAGGCACUCAGCAAGACAAUCCCCAUGCGUGACCACUGACCGCCACCUGUGAGGAAGACAGCAUGCUGGGCUUCUUCAUGGAAAAUCUGUAGCUCCAGGAGGGCUUGACAAGUUGGUACAGCUGGAGGAGAAGUGGAAGAAGUGGGGAGCACUGCAGUUCAGAGACUUGUACCCAGAUCCAGGAAAAUCUACGCUCAGAUCUCUGCUUUGUCCCCUGUGGGCUGUGAGCACCAGGCAGAUUCCCUGAGCCUCAGUCUUCCUAGCGGGUUAUGGGGAUGGUGCAGCUCGGCUCAGAGGGCUCAGCAGAAUGCCUGAUGCUCAGCGCAGAAGGUCAGUUGUAGAGGAACUGUGUUGUGGACCUCGCAGCGCUGAGUUUCGUGCCCGCCUCAGUCUGUGUGCUGUGCAUUUCGGGUUCUUGGCAGAGGUGGCCUGCGGGCAUGCUGGGUUUGACCAUAUUACAUCUUGUGCAUUCAUUUUCGAGACUGGAGGUUAGGAAUCUUACCCAAUGUUGACAUUUUUGACUUGAGAUUUGGAGAUCUGGCGACUCUGAUCCAAUGGGCUUGUAGCAGGUGGAGGCACAAGAUAGUCACCUGAGUACGUGGCCAUCGUGUGGUGUGCGCUCUUGGAAGGAUGGAUUUCUCUCCAAAUUGCCUCAAGUGUGCAGACGUCUUGAUAAGCAACACCUGACUUUCCGCGAGUGACAUCAAUUUCAGCCCUUGUUCUGGAACUGAAAAGGCCAAUGCUUCCAUUUAGCUCAGAGCUUUCUAAUUCUGUCCUUUGUUUGAAUUCCUUCUGGACAGUUCUGUUUGGUGUUCGGCGGUGAUGUUCAUCACAAGGGCAGAGUUGAAGAGGAAGCUUUUGAUCUCAGGCAAAGCAGUACAGUCGGCCAGGUGACAAUGACCGUCUGCGUUAUUACAGGGGUCCCUCCUUCCCAAGUGCUCUGUUACACACCCUCUGAUGUGAUUCUCACCUGUGAGGUGCCUAGGGGAAGAUAUGACGACACUUCUUCCCAGCACCUGACCAAGCUGAUAGCUUGAUCCUCAUUCAGACAUUUUGUUCAUGUCCCAUCUAGGACUGUGCUCUUCCUCUCAGCUUUUUAGAAGGUGUCCUGGGGUCCAGCAAAGCUGGACGACUCCUGAAGGGACGAACCAUAUCUAUCUCCUCUUGCUGCUAUAACAAAUUAACUACAGACAGUGGCUUAAAACAAAGCAAAUGUAUUAAUUUACAGCUCAGUGUAUCCGAAGUCUUACAUGGGCCCCCUGGGGCUCUAGUGAAGGUGUGGGCAAGGCUGUGUUCCCCCCGGGGUCUGUAGGGCAGACCUUUCCCAGUGUCCAGAGGCUGCCCGCAUCCCUUGGCCGGGGACGCCCUCCAUCUUUGAACUGGCCGGACUGGUCAAGGCCUUCUCAAGCCACUUAUGACGCUGACAUUCCUGUUCCCCUCUUUCACUUAUAAGGACCCUCAUGAUUACAUUGGGCGACAUAGUCACAGGUUCUGAGGACUCGGAUGCGGGCAUCCUGGGGAACGUUAUUGUGUUUAUUGCAUGCACUUAAACAGGUUCGUUACUGAUGAACUACUCAGAGACUUUAAUAUACAAAAGGCGUGUGCUAAUCCACAAAGGGAGGAGUGGUUAGUGUCCCCACGGCCACGGGCCCCACGCACUGUCCCACUUACAGUGCUGUCUUGUGUUCCAUCAUGCUCGGAGCGCACCCCACUUUCUCUAGUCCGCACAGCCCAUUGGGAGUGGUCCCCUGCCUCCCACUUCAGUGUUACAUUGAGACAACCUCCUUGUCCCUUGCUGAGGGGCAGAAGGCACUGGCUUUCUGCUCUUCUGUGGUGAGCACCCGGCUCGACUCUGACUUCGGCUGUUGUACUAGGAUUCCCGGGAGAGCCUGCUCCUUAAGGCGUUUUCCUAGUAAGCCCAUGUCUCAUUCAGGUCUCAGCUCAGCUUCCCAGAGAGGCUACAGUGGUUCCUUCUCGAGUGCCCUUCCCCCUGUCAGAGGCUGGAAGAGGAACUCAAGGAGCCAUAGAGCCAACGCUCUGAGCCAACUCAUAUCAGCCCAUCGAGUAGCACUGAGUUACAACUUGGUCAGUCUGAACCCCUGCCAAGGGAGGGAAGCUUUUAGUGGACAGUUGUGAUGCUCUGUGUCUGUGCUUUCACCUCACAAUGCCUUUGGGAUCAAUGUGAAGCUGUCUUUAAUGAUUUCAUAUGUGUUUGUUUAUUUGUUCUUCAAGUGGGGCGAUGACUGCCUUCUCUAGACCCAAGUCAGCCAAUGAGUAUGUUUAGAUCGAUUUGUAUUCCCCAGGACCGGUCUCACGGGCCAGAGAUCGACCAGGAAAGCCUGUGGUCCAGGGACUGUGGGGAUGCCUGAUGAGAACUUUGCUUGGAUGCUUUGCAGCACUUUCCUUUCAAAAUGGGUCUCACCCACGCUGUGUGCUGUGUGUUGGGGGCUUACCUGAGGCCAUCCCUUGGAAGCCCCUCAUUAAAGACAAAGCACAAGUGGGUGUGGAAUUUUGCCUUAUAAGUUCUGUGUGGUGUGCGACACUGUCCUAGUCUGGGUUUACCUCUCCCCAGCACUAGUACCCUUUCUGGGGAGAUGUUUACCUUUAUAAGACAGAUCUCUGUAUGGGCGUGCUCCUGUCUAUGCCAGGACAAGGGGGAGGACGCCGAGUCUCUAGAAACGCCUGUCAGUGCAGAGUGGACAGCAGCCCCCUAACCUUGCUCAGUGGGCUCUCCCACUAA
Long non-coding RNA from Mustela erminea (ermine), 5348 nucleotides. RefSeq lists it as uncharacterized. The transcript is spliced from 5 exons. The record is from RefSeq and is a predicted model, not a curated record. Lineage: Eukaryota; Metazoa; Chordata; Mammalia; Carnivora; Mustelidae.